GAUGAACGCUGGCGGCGUGCCUAAUACAUGCAAGUCGAGCGAACAGACGAGGAGCUUGCUCCUCUGACGUUAGCGGCGGACGGGUGAGUAACACGUGGAUAACCUACCUAUAAGACUGGGAUAACUUCGGGAAACCGGAGCUAAUACCGGAUAAUAUAUUGAACCGCAUGGUUCAAUAGUGAAAGACGGUUUUGCUGUCACUUAUAGAUGGAUCCGCGCCGCAUUAGCUAGUUGGUAAGGUAACGGCUUACCAAGGCAACGAUGCGUAGCCGACCUGAGAGGGGGGUCCGCCACCCUGGAACGGAGCCACGGUCCCGACCCCUGCGGGAGGCCACCGUAGGGAAUCCUCCGCCAUGGGGCAAAGCCUGACGGAGCAACCCCGGGUGAGUUAUGAAGGUCCUCCGAUCGUUAAACUCUGUUAUUAGGGAAGAACCAAUGUGUAAGUAACUAUGCACGUCUUGACGGUACCUAAUCAGAAAGCCACGGCUAACUACGUG
Molecule: ribosomal RNA, 497 nt
Filed under: uncultured bacterium
Lineage: Bacteria
Description: partial 16S ribosomal RNA
Rfam family: Bacterial small subunit ribosomal RNA
Source: RNAcentral